UACGUAGGGUGCAAGCGUUGUCCGGAAUUAUUGGGCGUAAAGAGCUCGUAGGCGGUCUGUCGCGUCGGCUGUGAAAACUCGGGGCUCAACCCCGAGCCUGCAGUCGAUACGGGCUAGCUAGAGUGUGGUAGGGGAGAUCGGAAUUCCUGGUGUAGCGGUGAAAUGCGCAGAUAUCAGGAGGAACACCGGUGGCGAAGGCGGAUCUCUGGGCCAUUACUGACGCUGAGGAGCGAAAGCGUGGGGAGCGAACAGG
Molecule: ribosomal RNA, 253 nt
Filed under: uncultured bacterium
Lineage: Bacteria
Description: partial 16S ribosomal RNA
Rfam family: Bacterial small subunit ribosomal RNA
Source: RNAcentral